Lonchura striata (white-rumped munia) is the source of this 878-nucleotide long non-coding RNA. RefSeq lists it as uncharacterized. The record is from RefSeq and is a predicted model, not a curated record. Lineage: Eukaryota; Metazoa; Chordata; Aves; Passeriformes; Estrildidae.
UUCUUUACCUUUUGGUGAACCUCCCCAGUCUUCUGACCCCAGGAUAUUCCCAGGAAGUGCACCCAGCCGUGUGCUCCUGGCAGUGGCUGACUGUGCUCUGCCACUGAAACUUGAAGAGGAGCAGUGUGUGCUCAGGACUCCAGGGCUGGCCCCCUCCGGAGCAAACCAGGCUCAGAUUUUCAUAGGUUAACAAGCUCUGAUUUCUCCCGGGGUCAGAGAUAAAACUCAGAACGGCUUGACUUCAUUAAAAACGAGAGCAUUCAGUCAAUUUCUCAUCCUCUGCCUGGAAAAGCAAGAAGGACCCCAAACAACAUAAACAGCAAAGAGAAAAUCAGCAACAAGUUCACUUCGUAGAAUACAGUUCUUUGAGUCUGUUACUCUUGGGGUCAAUAUGAGUAUGUAGAGUUCACGUGAGAAACCAUAACCGGGAUUAAAGGAAUGAGUCAGAGGAAGGAAAAAGUCAAAACAGGAUCAAGAUACCUCUGCACUGGCUUGAAGCAGCUAUAUUAAAGGGACUAUGUUUACUCCAAUAAAAACUGCACGUGGCAAAAAUAUCUUGAGUGAAGAGGGUAAAUGGAGCAUUUAAAAACAAAAUACUAAUUAAAAAUACCCAUUGAGCAAUCAAUCAUUUCAUAAUGUGCUCAUGUAUGCAUGUGGUCACAUCCAGGCACUUCCAGUUCUGAAAGCCAACGUCACUGAGGAUGUCUGAAAUUAAGGAUACUUGAGUUGCCACUACAUCCUAUUGCUCUUCAUUCCUCUGCUAGCAGGGACAUUGGCUGUUCUUUGUCAAGCUGUGCCAAGCAUUUCUCUCAAAAUAAGCAGUUGUAUGCUGCCUGAGAAGCUGAAACCAAUUAUUAAAGAUUACUCAUUUCUAUAAA